Microcebus murinus (gray mouse lemur) is the source of this 6872-nucleotide non-coding RNA. The record is from RefSeq and is a predicted model, not a curated record. NCBI's taxonomy places the organism in Eukaryota, Metazoa, Chordata, Mammalia, Primates, Cheirogaleidae.
UUUGAAAAAAAUCACAGUUUGGAAAAGUUUUAUUUUCCUCAAUGUAUUAAUCUGAUUGGGCUACCAUAAAAUACCAUAGAUUUUGGUGGCUUAAACAACAGAAAUUUAUUUUCUCACACGUUUGAAGGCUGGAAGUCCAAGCUUAGGAUGCUCACAUAGUCAGGUCCUGGUGAGGACUCUUCCUGGCUUGUAGACAGCUGCCCUCUCCCUAUGUGCUCAUGUGGCCUUUGUUAUGCGAGGAGGAGGGAGAAAGAGAGGAGACCGCUUCCUCUUUUAAAGCCCCAGUUCAAUCAGAUUAAGGCCUCAUUUUUAUGAUCUCAUGUAACCCUAUCUCCUAGGUAAAAGUCUUAUCUCCAAAUAGAGUCAUAUUGGGGAUUAGGACUUUAACAUUUAAAUUGGUGGGUUUGGGGGGGUGGACACUUAAGCCCACAGCACUCAAUAAUUUUUAUUCACAGAGUAUCAAGUGUUUUCUAUUUUUGAUGAGUAACUUCUCUGAUUUCCAAACAAUACAUUUCACCUAGUAGUUGAGGUGCUUUUGAUUACAAAUAACUCACUCAAGUAGCUUAAAGAAAUUGAUAAGUAAGAAUACAGAGUUCAUUCUCAAAAGGCCUCAUGAGGGACUGAAACAAUGUCAGGAAUCAGGCAACUACUUUUCUUCUGGCUUUCUGUAGCCAUAAGGUCUCUUAUCUCUCUCAUUCAUGUCAUAGCUUGUUUCCUUUUUGCUCUUCCAUUCUUGUGGCAGCCUAGGGCCACUGUGUAACUCCUGAGUGUGUAUUACCUCAGUUCUAGUCAUAGCAGGCAGGGACCAACUAACAUCUCUGAAUCCUAAUUCCAUUGUCCUGAGAAACCCCAUGUGGGUUAGGUAUCCAGUUGGGCUUUGGUGCAAAAGGGAAAUGUGGUCAUACAGUUUAAAGUAGGCUGUCAGUGUUUGCUCUUGACAGUCUCGAGAGUUAAAGCCUUGUACUACCUGAUCUUCCUAAAGCUCUUUCAGGUAACUAGGCAGGGGUUACUUUCAUUUAACAGAGGAAAAUAUUAAGUAACUUUCCCUAAAUCACUACUAUGGAAGCUUUCUUCACCACCAUCCUCCGCCAUGUACCCCAACUAUGGCUGACAGUCGUCUGUGCUCUUACAGCACACUGCUAACCUCUGUACCAGCUCAUUGUAAUGUGUAUUUAAUUGUUUAGUAGUCUGAGAAUUGUUAAAGUGUAGGAUCCAUGUGUUAUUAACUUUGUUGGGGAUGUAUGGUAAACUGGAUGAAUUGCCUAAGACGAGAACUAAAAGCCAGAUUCUGGAGGCAGACUAUUCAGGUUCAAAAUUCAACUUUGCUACUUCCUAGCUGACUGAUCAUGGGCAAGUUACUUAACCUCUUCAUGCUUCAGUUGUCUAUAAAUGGACAUAAUAGUUCUCAUUUUCUAGAGCUACUCUGAGGAUUAAAUGAGUUGAUGUAUAGAACAUACUUAAAACUGACAAUGCCUGACAUUAAUAAGUUACUGUGUUGGCUGUCAUUUUUAUAUGUUGCAAUAGUCACUUUAGAGAAACUUUUCCAAACAGGCCUUAAAAUAUCACUUCAGUAAAAUUUACUCUCAAGGCUCUUUCCUUUCCUGCUAAGUCUUCCCGACACUAGAAAUAGGCACUCUUUAUUAUACCCUUCAAGACUAUUCAUAAUCUGGCUCCAGUCCUUCCUUUUGUACACUUUCUACAUAAAUUCUCUAUUCAAAUUGCAUUUUCUUUUGAUCCAUUCCAUGCUGUACUGUUCGGUUUUUAAAAUUAUCUCUAAACCGUAACGAUUUAGAAACCAGGAACUAUAUACAUUGCAACUCUGUCUCACUGUCACCUCAUAAGAUACAGUAGGCACUUGAAAUAUUUAUUGCUUAAUUGGCACAGAUACGGGCAACUUUUUCAAGACUGUUCGACAAAUUGAAUAUUGUGCAGAUUUGUGCAUGAAUGCUCAAUUUGUGUAGCAAGUUAAUUUUUACAAUUAACUCUUUAAAAAAUUAAAGCACUUGUGAGAAAUUCUUAAAUUAUGACAGCUACAUGAAAAAAACUUAUAAAUCAUUUGGAACUGUAUGAUAGCCAAAAUAUUACACUCCAUAUAUUGCAAAGUAGACCUCCUUCUGCUGGAUAAUUACAGCAUUUCUUCCUUUGAAACUUGUAUAGCAAAGGCAGAGAGGACCUCUUGGCUGAGAAUGUUCACAGAAUUACUGCUGUGAGAGCAAGGGACCAGUUAAGGAAGGGAGAUGACGGAGAAACAUGCAGUUGGACCUGUAUCUUUUUCUCAUAUGUAAUAAUAGCAAUAAAAUCACUAAAAAAGACAUAAGACUUUUUAGCCCUUUUUACUGUUAGUGAAGAUUUGUGUGAAAAAAUUAUUGUAACUGAUAUACCCAAAUUUAAUUAGCUAUAGGAUGAUAAAUGUAUUUCUAAACCUUAGGUAUUUUAACUGAAGUUUACAUAAAAAUAAUACUAUGCCAUAAUUUUAAUUAGUGCUGUUCAACUGGAAUUUGGAAUUAUCUAUCAUCUCUUUACUUCUGCAUACUUUGUGAAUCAAGAGUUUACUAUAUUUUGAUUAUGUCUUUUUUAUUCUUUGCACUCUUUGUUAGUGAAUAUACUUGAAUAUGGAAUAUGACAUUAAUUAUUUUAGGCAUAACAGAUGAGUUUUUAUUAAGAGUACAUUAGAGUGAGGACUUUUCUUCUUUUUUUUUCUUCCAGAUACUCUAGAUGAGUAUUUUGAAUAUGAUGCAGAGGAGUUCUUGGUCUCUUUGGCUUUGCUAAUAACAGAAGGACGAACACCUGAAUGUUCAAUAAAAGGUCGAACGGAAAGUUUCCAUUGCCCUCCAGCACAGUCUUGUUACCCAGUAACUACCAAACAUGAAUGUAGUGACAAGCUGGCCCAGUGUCGCCAAGCCAGACGAACCAGGUCUGAGGUCACUUUGUUGUGGAAGAAUAAUCUUCCAAUCAUGGUGGAAGUGAUGCUACUACCAGACUGCUGUUACAGCGAUGAUGGGCCCACCACAGAAGGAAUUGAUCUAAAUGAUCCUGCAAUUAAGCAAGAUGCAUUGUUAUUAGAAAGAUGGACCUUGGAGCCAGUUCCUCGACAGAGUGGUGAUCGAUUUAUUGAGGAGAAGACUCUUCUGUUGGCUGUCCGCUCAUUUGUGUUUUUUUCUCAGUUAAGUGCUUGGCUGAGUGUCUCUCAUGGUGCUAUUCCACGAAAUAUUCUCUACAGAAUCAGUGCUGCUGAUGUAGAUCUACAGUGGAAUUUUUCACAGACUCCAAUUGAGCACGUGUUUCCUGUUCCCAAUGUUUCUCACAAUGUGGCCUUGAAAGUCAGCGUUCAGUCCUUGCCCAGACAAUCUAAUUACCCAGUUUUGACCUGUAGUAUUCACACUAAUAUUGGCCUUUAUGAGAAAAGAAUUCAAGAACAUGAACAUCAAACCCAUCAGGACCGCAAUUCUAAUGAAGCAGAACAGUGUAGUACAAAUAGUUCACAGCGUCUGUGUAGCAAACAAACUUGGACCAUGGCACCCGAGAGUGUAUUACAUGCAAAAAAUGGCACAGCUACAGAAUAUACUACAGCCAUCAAAAAUGUCAAACUAUGUCCAGGCACUGGCAAUAAAUCUGACUAUGGGACAUCUCAAGCCAAUAUUCUGAGCUUUAGUAGUAUAGGACAUAUAAAGUCACAUGAAAUAUCAAUGAGAACUUUAAAAUCAUUUUCAAUGAUUGAUUCCAGUGUCUCUAGCCGCCAGAGUUCCUGGCAGUCAGUUGGUGAGACUAACCCUUUAAUAGGUUCUUUAAUUCAGGAGCGACAAGAAGUUAUUGCAAGAAUCGCCCAGCAUUUGAUUCAUUGUGAUCCAAGCAGUUCACAUGUUUCUGGACAUCCAUAUAAUACUCAAGAGUCUAGUUCACUUCAUUCAAAACUUUUCCGGGUUUCACAAGAUAAUGAAAAUGUGAGAAAAUGUAAAGAAACAUUCUCCAUUUCUUUCGGUAGUCCAGAGAUUACUUCCCCAGAAGACUCCAAUGAAGGGAAAAUUCGACUAAAACCAGAAACUCCUCAUAGUGAAACUUGUGUUUCUAAUGGUCUUUAUUCUCGCCAGUCUGUUGGGGAGACUAAUCCUUUGAUAGGAUCUUUACUCCAGGAGCGGCAAGAUGUUAUUGCAAGAAUUGCUCAACACUUGGAGCACAUUGAUCCAACAACAUCCCAUGUCCCCCGGCAGUCAUUCAACAUGCGUGACUCCACUUCAGUCCCUUCUAAAGUGUUUAGGAGUUCAUAUGAAGACAAAAAUUUGUUGAAGAAAAAUAAGAAUGAUUCUUCUGUUUCCAUUUCUCAUACAAAAUUUUCCUUGUUAGGAGACAGCAGUGAUGGGGAAAACUUAAUACCUAAUAAAUCUGUUAGUUCUUUACAAUGCAGUGGUAAAGAAAAAUGUUCUUUGAGACCUCAAAUAAGAAAUCAGUGUCAGAACAAUCCUAGUGAAAUCAUCCAAAGUACAUAUCAGGAGACACAGAACAAAGCUACUAGUUUAUUGACUUCUUCAAAUAUAUCUCAUUGCAAAGAAAAUAACAUAGAUUUGACAAGCAGAUUUAAGGAGCAAGAAAUUAGUAAUGGAAUUGAUAAGCAGUAUUCAAAUUGCAAUAGUAUGGACAAACAGAUUUGCACAAAUAAGUAUACGGAAAAAAUAAUAAAAAAUGAGAAUUGUAACCCAGAAUCCUUUGACAAUCUCCAAUUUGAUAAUUCAAAAAAAAUUGACUCAAAAAUGAAAGUUACUGUGUUGGAAAAGUCUGAAUAUUUGAACAAAUAUGAAAAUAACUGCUCAAAUAAAGACUCUAAAAAGCCUAAGACAUGUGAGCAAAAUACUCAACUUAAUAGCAUAGAAAACUAUCUCAAUAAAGAUAAUGAAGGUUUCAAAUGCAAAAAGUCAAUUCAAUUAAAAAGUGAACAGGAUAAGAAAGAAGAUUCAACUGAUGAAAAAUCUCAAAAAUGUUCACAGAAAAGAAGUACAAAAGACUGUUUGUCUACGUGUGAACGGCUAAAAAAUACAGAGGUGUUGAGGACUACACUGAAACAUUCAAAUGUCUGGCGAAAACAUAAUUUUCAUUCCUUGGAUGGAACCUCAACCAGAGCCUUUCAUCCUCGUACUGGAUUGCCACUUCUUUCAAGUCCUGUUCCUCACAGAAAAACACAAUCAGGUUGCUUUGAUCUGGAUUCUUCAUUACUGCAUCUGAAAAGCUUAUCAUCUAGAAGUCCUCGACCAUAUUUAAACAUUGAAGAUGAUCCAUGUAUUCAUGAAAAACCAUUUUUGAGUUCUAGUGCUCCACCCAUAACAAGUCUUAGUCUCCUAGGAAAUUUUGAGGAAUCUGUCUUGAACUAUCGUUUAGAUCCCCUCGGCAUUGUUGAUGGUUUUACUGCUGAGGUAGGGGCAAGUGGUGUUUUUUGCCCCACACAUUUGACUCUUCCAGUUGAAGUGUCAUUCUACAGUGUUUCAGAUGAUAAUGCUCCCUCUCCUUAUAUGGGUGUGAUUACUUUAGAGUCCCUUGGUAAAAGGGGUUAUCGAGUACCUCCUUCAGGAACAAUACAAGUGGUAUGUGUUUUAUAGCCUACAAUUGCAAUAAUCAUUCUCUCACAUACAUAUAGAACUUAGCCCUUUCUCCUGCUACUGCUGCUGCAACAACUUUGACCUUAUUUAAUCCUAAUAAGACCGUGGUGAAGAUGUUUGUUGUGAUAUAUGACUUACGACAUAUGCCAGCCAAUCAUCAGACAUUCCUACGACAAAGAACUUUUUCUGUACCUGUUAAACAAGAAAUGAAGAGAAGUGUUAAUAAAGAGAACAUACGACAUACAGAAGAACGGUUAUUACGCUACCUCAUACAUCUGAGGUUCCAGAGUUCUAAAUCUGGAAAGAUCUACCUCCAUAGAGAUGUACGGCUCCUGUUCUCUAGAAAGUCAAUGGAGGUCGAUAGCGGUGCUGCAUAUGAACUCAAAUCCUAUACUGAAUCGCCAACAAACCCUCAGUUUUCACCACGAUGUUGAUAAGGAGUGACUAUUUAAAGUAUUUGCUCAGUACUCAAGUUUGCAAGUAAAAAUUAGCAUAGAAUAGAGUGUACCAAAUUAACAAUCAGGAGAGUGGACCCACUCCUGUUAUCCUGGACCAGUUUUUAUUAAAGGAUUCCUGAAAUGAGAUCUACGUAUUCCAAGUAGACUGGAAACACUCAUGUCCUAAUCCUUUUUGUACUGUUGAAACCACUUCAUUGGACAUGUUGCAAUAGCAUACCACCCCCCACCCCCCGUUAGAUUAGUGUUUACAUGUUUUAUUUCUCAGUUAUUUAAUAUUUAAUGUUUUCCUUAAUACUCAAGUGAUGUUUGUCUGUAGUGUUCUAAUGUAGCACAAAUCCUAUGUAAAAUCAUACUAUGUAUUUUUGACAUUAACGUUGAAAUCUGAAAUAUAUGCACAAGUCUUUAAUUUUGUGUGAUGUGUUUUAAGUGCUAUUCAUUUAAGUUAUUGAAAAUGAGAAUGAAAUGUUGAGCUUCUUUAAAAUUAUCGCACUAUGCAAGCAUGUGUAUUUUUUACAUAUUUCAAGUUUAGUUUUUACAACACCCCAUCCAGGUUGCUAUCUCACAUAGUAGUCCUUUAACAUGCUGUAUUAGCAGUGCAAGGUGUGGACUAAGCUGCUUCACAUUCCGCUUGCAAGUUCAGAUCAUCAUGCCCGUUCAUAUUCCUUCUAGGAUUCCUUAUCCCAAAAACAAUUCUAUUUUUCCUUAAUCCCUACUAUAGAGGCUUUACAUUAAAUUGCUGUCCUAUGCUAGUUAACUUUCUCAAAUUGUUAAAAGAAUAUGUACUUUGAAAACAAAUUAGUAUUUAUAUUGUAAAUAUAUGCAAAAAAAC